Molecule: long non-coding RNA, 718 nt
Filed under: Pan troglodytes (chimpanzee)
Lineage: Eukaryota; Metazoa; Chordata; Mammalia; Primates; Hominidae
Description: lncRNA (ENSPTRG00000054476.1)
Source: RNAcentral
GCGGAGGGGUAGCAGCCAGUGCGGCCCCUGGACAAAGCUCAACCACCUGGAAUCAGAAUUUAGCUCUGCCACAGAUCAGCUAUGACCUUGGACAAAUUAUAUAACCAUUGUGGCCUGUUUUCCUGGUCUGGAAAGAGGGAUAAGAGCAGUGCUCACUUCAUGAGGAUCAUAAUGGAGAUUAACAUGAGUUGGUCCAAUGCACUUAGCACAGCUCCUGCAACGCAGUGAUUGCUGCACCCAGAGCCUGUUCCUCUCCCAACUCCUUGAAAUUCUCAGCUCCUUCCUCAAGUCCCUGCUCCUAUGAAUUGGUUACACCUCCAUCAUGCUGCAAAAAUUAAUUUUGUUAUACGCCUGUGUCAUUCAGAGCUAUCAUUCCUGAAGCUUUUGGUCCUGCUCCAACAGUGGCGUUUGCAAUCCAGGAUUGUCAUGCAGUUUCCAUCAUUAUCUUCUAUGGAGUUCUUCAUUCCCACAUCUGUGGCCCUUAAAAUCCUAUGGUUGAGUGCCUGCCUUGGAUCAGCAGUCAGUUCGUUACCUUGGUUCUCAGACGAUGCUUGCAACAACGUCAUGCGAUUCGCCCACUCUUGGGUAGAUGGAGACAUUGGGGCUCAGGUGUGGGUAAGUGAUUGUGUGACUCCUUGUUAAGCGGCAGAACCGGGACUCAAAUUCACACAGAUCUGAUUCCCAACCCUGUGGCCCUAAGCACAGUGUUAUUAGACCA